GCAAACUUGGUCAUUUAGAGGAAGUAAAAGUCGUAACAAGGUUUCCGUAGGUGAACCUGCGGAAGGAUCAUUAAAGUGCCAAGCUGGGUAGAGCGUCUCAUCUUUUAGAAGGGAUCGCUCGACCCGCAAUCAGGCCCCAACCGUGUCUAUCUGAACCUAGUUGCCUUGGCGGGUCAGUCGGGGUGAUCUUCGACCGCCGAGGGUGAGCCGUCGGGCUUAUCCGGGCGCGCGCCCGCCAACGGAAUUUUAUUGAACUCUUGUCUAAGCUGGCUGUCUGAGUGAAAAUAAUAAGUUAAAACUUUCAACAAUGGAUCUCUUGGUUCCGGCAUCGAUGAAGAACGCAGC
This 345-nucleotide unclassified non-coding RNA is filed under the name uncultured fungus. Its description in RNAcentral is "partial contains small subunit ribosomal RNA, internal transcribed spacer 1, and 5.8S ribosomal RNA". The stretch from base 1 to 73 matches the Rfam family "Eukaryotic small subunit ribosomal RNA", at positions 1759 to 1831 of the family's 1831-position model. The record is from RNAcentral. Lineage: Eukaryota; Fungi.